CCUAGCCCCGUCUCAGCCCCUGCGCUAGCCGGCAGUCCCCUCCCACGGCCGCGUUCAUUUCAUACCAACUCUCAUUCCUCGCAUUCCUCACUUCCUCCUUUCAAACUCCACGGGAAAUAAAAACCCUCCCUUUUCCUUCCGAACUCCUGCCCGACCGUGGCCGUCGCUGCCGCCGCCCGGGUUCGCCGUCCCGCCAUCCGCUCCCGCGCUCCUCAGAGGAACUGGGCUGUUAUUGUAGUGGCUUGUUGAAUUUCCCGGACUUCUUCCUUUGGUUCUGAGUCUGCUUCUCCGUGUCGCACCUUGGAGUUUCUAGCUGGCACCAUUACCUCCAACGAGUGGAGUUCUCCCACCUCCCCUGAGGGGAGCAACGACUCAGGGGGCAGUGAGGCCUUGGACAAACCUAUUGACAAUGACGCUGAGGGUGUGUGGAGUCCGGACAUUGAGCAGAGCUUCCAGGAAGCGCUAGCCAUCUACCCACCAUGUGGACGGCGGAAGAUUAUCUUGUCAGACGAAGGCAAGAUGUAUGGCCGAAAUGAGCUGAUUGCCCGCUAUAUUAAGCUGAGAACAGGGAAAACACGCACAAGGAAACAGGUAUCUAGUCACAUCCAGGUCCUGGCAAGGCGGAAAGCUAGAGAGAUCCAAGCCAAGCUCAAGGAUCAGGCAGCUAAAGAUAAAGCCAUGCAGAGUAUGGCUACAAUGUCAUCUGCCCAGAUUAUCUCUGCAACUGCCUUCCAUAGUAAAAUGGCCUUGCCUGGUCUCCCACGACCUGCCUACCCUGCUGUUUCUGGGUUUUGGCAAGGAGCUUUGCCAAGCCAAGCUGGAUCUUCCCAAGAUGUGAAACCUUUUUCUCAACAACCUUAUGCUGUACAGCCUCCAUUACCAUUACCAGGGUUUGAGUCUUCUACUGGCCUCUCACCUUCCCCAUCAUCACCAGCUUGGCAAGGACGAAGGGUUGCUAGCUCCAAACUUUGGAUGUUAGAAUUCUCUGCGUUCUUGGAACAACAACAAGACCAAGACACAUAUAACAAACACCUGUUUGUGCACAUUGGGCAGUCAAGUGCCACCUACAGUGACCCCUACCUCGAGGCAGUGGAUAUUCGGCAGAUCUAUGACAAGUUCCCUGAGAAAAAAGGGGGCCUGAAGGAGCUCUUUGAAAAGGGGCCAGCUAAUGCCUUCUUCCUUGUCAAAUUCUGGGCUGAUUUGAACACCAAUAUUGAAGAUGAAUCCAGAUCUUUCUAUGGCGUUUCCAGCCAGUAUGAGAGCCGAGAAAACAUGGUCAUUACCUGUUCCACCAAAGUGUGUUCCUUUGGAAAGCAGGUGGUAGAGAAAGUGGAGACAGAGUAUGCACGCUAUGAAAAUGGAUACUAUUCCUAUCGCAUUCACCGUUCCCCUCUCUGCGAAUACAUGAUAAACUUCAUUCAUAAACUCAAGCACCUUCCUGAGAAGUAUAUGAUGAACAGUGUGCUGGAGAACUUUACUAUCUUACAGGAGCCUUUCCAGGCUCAGAUGUUGGCCAAAUUUGGGGAGAGGGCAAAGACAGCUUAAACGAUGGAUUUUCCUUGGGCUGAGUUCUGUGCUUGCCUCUACAACACGCAUCACAGAUCUUCACCCAGAGGAGCUGUGGUUGGGUUGUCACAAACAGGGACACACAGGAGACCUUGCUGUGCAUAGCAUAUGUUUUUGAGGUGUCAACUAGUGACCAUGGUGCCCAGCAUCACAUCUACCGGCUGGUGAAGGACUAGAGACUCUCAGCCCUGAGUCAUCAAUGGGAUGCAUGCCUAAGAAAAAAGCCUGUGCUUGAACAACCCCUGGCCCCUCAUACCAAACUGAAAAAUAAACUGCAUAUAUUGUGUAUUUUCAGAAAAGCA
This is an RNA transcript of Pezoporus flaviventris, 1868 nucleotides long. It is a transcript of the gene named TEA domain transcription factor 4, with no coding region annotated. NCBI's taxonomy places the organism in Eukaryota, Metazoa, Chordata, Aves, Psittaciformes, Psittacidae. The record is from RefSeq and is a predicted model, not a curated record. The transcript is spliced from 14 exons.